RNAcentral lists this ribosomal RNA (253 nucleotides) under uncultured bacterium. RNAcentral describes it as "partial 16S ribosomal RNA". It matches the Rfam family "Bacterial small subunit ribosomal RNA", at positions 524 to 776 of the family's 1533-position model. The record is from RNAcentral.
UACGUAGGUGGCAAGCGUUGUCCGGAUUUACUGGGCGUAAAGAGCGCGCAGGCGGUCGGAUAAGUCGAAUGUGAAAGCCCCCGGCUCAACUGGGGAGGGUCAUUCGAUACUGAUCGACUCGAAGGCAGGAGAGGGAAGUGGAAUUCCCGGUGUAGUGGUGAAAUGCGUAGAUAUCGGGAGGAACACCAGUGGCGAAGGCGACUUCCUGGCCUGUUCUUGACGCUGAGGCGCGAAAGCUAGGGGAGCAAACGGG